GGAAGUGUGUGUCUUCUGUUUGUGAUGGCACGUAGCUGGACAUUGAUCGCUAGACCGUUAUUAGUGUUUGCAGAUCUGCUCAGUGGACAUCCGUCACACUAUUGUUCUCUCAACAUAAAUUUGCCGGACAGAUGUUUGGUGCUGAAGUUCUAGUGCCGGUCUUCUGUUGCAUCGACGCCGGGUCGAAACGCACAGUCAUGCAUUGUCCGUCCGGGUGUUGUUUCUGGUAAGGGUGGUGGUGCGUCAGCGUCGCCAUUCCGAGCCAAGGCUCCUCGGCCGGUAUACAAUUGCUAUGAGACCAGCACCGAAUUUCCCAGUCUGUCGUUUUCAAAAUUUCUUAGUUAAGUAACUUGGGUAGCUUAGCUUCGGAUUUUCGUAAAUUUACAGUUCAGAACACUUCCAUACCAGUGGCAUUGCCGAGCAAUUUGCCCAUUAAUUUU
RNAcentral lists this small nuclear RNA (440 nucleotides) under Musca domestica (house fly). RNAcentral's name for it is "Arthropod 7SK RNA". It matches the Rfam family "Arthropod 7SK RNA". The record is from Rfam by way of RNAcentral. Lineage: Eukaryota; Metazoa; Arthropoda; Insecta; Diptera; Muscidae.